UACGAAGGGCAUACCCUGAGAUGUAUAUCAUAUCGUAACCCAGAUCAAACUAACCUUAAGCAACAGGAAAAAAAACAAAAGCUAAAAAAAACUCAAAAUAAAACUGAAAACAAGACUUCCUAGACAUCAAUUGGCAAACCAGUAGAUUGAUUUGUGGAAAACUCAGAACCGGUUGACCGGUUUGCAAAAAUAGUAGAAAUGCUAAGUGGAACUCCAAGG
Molecule: long non-coding RNA, 219 nt
Filed under: Populus trichocarpa (black cottonwood)
Lineage: Eukaryota; Viridiplantae; Streptophyta; Magnoliopsida; Malpighiales; Salicaceae
Description: long non-coding RNA (PTRI_LNC004692)
Source: RNAcentral